RNAcentral lists this ribosomal RNA (552 nucleotides) under Triticum aestivum (bread wheat). RNAcentral's name for it is "partial small subunit ribosomal RNA". The record is from RNAcentral. Lineage: Eukaryota; Viridiplantae; Streptophyta; Magnoliopsida; Poales; Poaceae.
AUGGGAACCAGCAACAUCCCGUCGCCUCCUUAUCCACUCGGGCGUGCAUAUGGGCUGGUGGACAGCCAUCACGCUAGGCCUAGUUGGCUAGUGGGCACUAGCCCAUGCUGUACGAGCAGUAAAGAAAAAAAGAAUCAAAAACGAAAAGGAAAAGGAAAAGGUGGCUUGGCCACGGGUAUGGCUGACAUAUCCAAGAAGGAAUUUGCUGAGCUUGCCAUUGAUGGCAGAAACUAUCUCACCUGGGCCAUGGAUGUCAAGAUUAACUUGGCGGCCAGGAAUCUAAUCUGCACUAUAACCACACCUACUCAAGGUGCUCCUGCUAUCGCGGAUACGGCAAAGUAUGCUUCUUUGCACUUCAUUCGACACCACCUUGAUCUUGCUCUAGAAAAAGAGUACAUGAUGGAGGAAAGUCCUCUAUCACCGUGGAACUCCUUAAAGGAGCGUUAUGAUCAACAAAGAUUAGUGAUGUUGCCUCGGCACUUAUCCGUUUCCAUGAUUUUAAGUCCAUUGCAGCAUACAAUUCUGCUGUGCAUCAAAUUAACUCUAAGUUGA